This 494-nucleotide ribosomal RNA is filed under the name uncultured bacterium. RNAcentral's name for it is "partial 16S ribosomal RNA". It matches the Rfam family "Bacterial small subunit ribosomal RNA", at positions 28 to 507 of the family's 1533-position model. The record is from RNAcentral.
GACGAACGCUGGCGGCGCGCUUAACACAUGCAAGUCGAACGGAAAGGCCUGCUUUCCCUUGUGGAUUGCGGGUACUCGAGUGGCGAACGGGUGAGUAACACGUGAGUGAUCUGCCCCCAACUUGGGUAUAAGCCUGGGAAACUGGGUCUAAUUCCCGAUAGGACUGCAGGGUGGUGCCUGUGGUGGAAAACGAUUUUCUAGUGGUUGGGGAUGAGCUCGCGGCCUAUCAGCUUGUUGGUGGGGUAAUGGCCUACCAAGGCGGCGACGGGUAGCCGGCCUGAGAGGGUGGACGGCCACAGUGGGACUGAGAUACGGCCCAGACUCCUACGGGAGGCAGCAGUGGGGAAUAUUGCACAAUGGGCGGAAGCCUGAUGCAGCGACGCCGCGUGGGGGAUGACGGCCUUCGGGUUGUAAACUCCUUUCGACCGCGAGGAAGCCACCUGGUUGGAAGGGUGGUGACGGUAGUGGUAGAAGAAGCACCGGCUAACUACGUG